CGGGGUGAGUAAUGUAUGGGGAUCUGCCUGAUGGCGGGGGGUAACUACUGGAAACGGUAGCUAAUACCGCAUAAUGUCUACGGACCAAAGCGGGGGACCUCCGGGCCUCGCGCCAUCAGAUGAACCCAUAUGGGAUUAGCUUGUAGGUAAGGUAACGGCUUACCUAGGCGACGAUCCCUAGCUGGUCUGAGAGGAUGAUCAGCCACACUGGGACUGAGACAUGGCCCAG
Molecule: ribosomal RNA, 229 nt
Filed under: uncultured bacterium
Lineage: Bacteria
Description: partial 16S ribosomal RNA
Rfam family: Bacterial small subunit ribosomal RNA
Source: RNAcentral